Molecule: ribosomal RNA, 397 nt
Filed under: uncultured bacterium
Lineage: Bacteria
Description: partial 16S ribosomal RNA
Rfam family: Bacterial small subunit ribosomal RNA
Source: RNAcentral
AUACGUAGGGGGCGAGCGUUGUCCGGAAUGAUUGGGCGUAAAGGGCGCGUAGGCGGCCCGGUAAGUCUGGAGUGAAAGUCCUGUUUUUAAGAUGGGAAUUGCUUUGGAUACUGUCGGGCUUGAGUGCAGGAGAGGUAAGUGGAAUUCCCAGUGUAGCGGUGAAAUGCGUAGAGAUUGGGAGGAACACCAGUGGUGAAGGCGACUUACUGGACUGUAACUGACGCUGAGGCGCGAAAGUGUGGGGAGCAAACAGGAUUAGAUACCCUGGUAGUCCACACUGUAAACGAUGAAUGCUAGGUGUAGGGGGUAUCGACCCCUUCUGUGCCGCAGUCAACACAAUAAGCAUUCCGCCUGGGGAGUACGGCCGCAAGGUUGAAACUCAAAGGAAUUGACGGGG